AGCCCUGUAGUUUAACAGGUAAAACGCCGAGCUUAUACCUCGGGAAAGCGCCAGAUUAGCGCGUGAUGCGGGUUCGAAUCCCGCCGGGGCAACCA
This 95-nucleotide transfer RNA is filed under the name Gammaproteobacteria bacterium. RNAcentral describes it as "tRNA-Ile". It matches the Rfam family "tRNA". Rfam says of the family: Transfer RNA (tRNA) molecules are approximately 80 nucleotides in length. Their secondary structure includes four short double-helical elements and three loops (D, anti-codon, and T loops). Lineage: Bacteria; Pseudomonadati; Pseudomonadota; Gammaproteobacteria. The record is from RNAcentral.